CCUACGGGUGGCAGCAGUAGGGGAUAUUGCUCAAUGGGGGAAACCCUGAAGCAGCAACGCCGCGUGGAGGAUGAAGGGUUUCGGAUCGUAAACCCCUUUUGUUAGAGAAGAUAAUGACGGUAUCUAACGAAUAAGCCCCGGCUAACUUCGUGCCAGCAGCCGCGGUAAUACGGAGGGUGCAAGCGUUACUCGGAAUUACUGGGCGUAAAGAGGGCGUAGGCGGGGUAGCAAGUCAGAUGUGAAAGCCUAUGGCUUAACCACAGAACUGCAUUUGAAACUGGUAUUCUGGAGUGUAGGAGAGGAAGGUGGAAUUCUUGGUGUAGCGGUGAAAUGCGUAGAGAUCAGGAGGAACACUCGUUGCGAAGGCGGCCUGCUGGACCGUAACUGACGCUGAUGCGCGAAAGCGUGGGGAGCAAACAGGAUUAGAUACCCUUGUAGUC
RNAcentral lists this ribosomal RNA (440 nucleotides) under uncultured bacterium. RNAcentral's name for it is "partial 16S ribosomal RNA". It matches the Rfam family "Bacterial small subunit ribosomal RNA", at positions 338 to 795 of the family's 1533-position model. The record is from RNAcentral.